This 254-nucleotide ribosomal RNA is filed under the name uncultured bacterium. Its description in RNAcentral is "partial 16S ribosomal RNA". It matches the Rfam family "Bacterial small subunit ribosomal RNA", at positions 524 to 776 of the family's 1533-position model. The record is from RNAcentral.
UACGGGGGGAGCAAGCGUUGUUCGGAUUUACUGGGCGUAAAGGGCGCGUAGGCGGUCAGCACAAGUCAGUUGUGAAAUCUCCGGGCUUAACUCGGAACGGUCAAGUGAUACUGUCGGGCUAGAGUGCAGAAGGGGCAACUGGAAUUCUCGGUGUAGCGGUGAAAUGCGUAGAUAUCGAGAGGAACACCUGCGGCGAAGGCGGGUUGCUGGGCUGACACUGACGCUGAGGCGCGAAAGCCAGGGGAGCGAACGGG